GAUGAACGCUGGCGGCGUGCCUAAUACAUGCAAGUCGAGCGAAUGGAUUAAGAGCUUGCUCUUAUGAAGUUAGCGGCGGACGGGUGAGUAACACGUGGGUAACCUGCCCAUAAGACUGGGAUAACUCCGGGAAACCGGGGCUAAUACCGGAUAACACUUUGAACCGCAUGGUUCGAAAUUGAAAGGCGGCUUCGGCUGUCACUUAUGGAUGGACCCGCGUCGCAUUAGCUAGUUGGUGAGGUAACGGCUCACCAAGGCAACGAUGCGUAGCCGACCUGAGAGGGUGAUCGGCCACACUGGGACUGAGACACGGCCCAGACUCCUACGGGAGGCAGCAGUAGGGAAUCUUCCGCAAUGGACGAAAGUCUGACGGAGCAACGCCGCGUGAGUGACGAAGGCUUUCGGGUCGUAAAACUCUGUUGUUAGGGAAGAACAAGUGCUAGUUGAAUAAGCUGACACCUUGACGGUACCUAACCAGAAAGCCACGGCUAACUACGUGCCAGCCGCCGCGGUAA
RNAcentral lists this ribosomal RNA (515 nucleotides) under uncultured bacterium. RNAcentral describes it as "partial 16S ribosomal RNA". It matches the Rfam family "Bacterial small subunit ribosomal RNA", at positions 28 to 523 of the family's 1533-position model. The record is from RNAcentral.